AUGGUCAAUUCCGGAGGCAACAACGAGGAGGUGUACUAUGUGGACGUGCUCAACAAAGAUCUCUUAGAGAUUCAUCGGUAUACCAUCAACAGUCUGCAAGAGGUGAAUGCCUCUCUAAAGGCGGAGAUUAAAGAGCUGCGCAACAAGAGUGUUCAACUCAUUCAAAAUACUAAUAAGCUGAGGGACGAGAGGGAUAAGCUGAUCGAGGAGAGGGUUGAGAUGAAGCAGGAGAGAAAACUCCUCGGGGUAGAGAGGAAUGAGCUCAAGGUGGACAUAGAUCAUUUCAAAAAAGAUGGAGAGGGCAAUAGAAAGAAGCUUCGCCACCUGAUCGUAAUCCUUGAUGAAGAGUAG
RNAcentral lists this ribosomal RNA (351 nucleotides) under Triticum aestivum (bread wheat). Its description in RNAcentral is "partial small subunit ribosomal RNA". The record is from RNAcentral. Lineage: Eukaryota; Viridiplantae; Streptophyta; Magnoliopsida; Poales; Poaceae.